CCUACGUGUGGCAGCAGUGAGGAAUAUUGGUCAAUGGGCGCGAGCCUGAACCAGCCAAGUAGCGUGAAGGAUGACUGCCCUACGGGUUGUAAACUUCUUUUAUAAAGGAAUAAAGUGAGGCACGUGUGCCUUUUUGUAUGUACUUUCUGAAUAAGGAUCGGCUAACUCCGUGCCAGCAGCCGCGGUAAUACGGAGGAUCCGAGCGUUAUCCGGAUUUAUUGGGUUUAAAGGGAGCGUGGAUGGUUUGUUAAUUCAGUUGGGAAAGUUUGCGGCUCAACCGUAAAAUUGCAAUUGAUACUGGCAGUCUUGAGUACAGUUGAGGUAGGCGGAAUUCGUGGUGUAGCGGUGAAAUGCUGAGAUAUCACGAAGAACUCCGAUUGCGAAGGCAGCUUACUAAACUGCCACUGACAUUGAUGCUCGAAAGUGUGGGUAUCAAACAGGAUUAGAGACCCUGGUAGUC
Molecule: ribosomal RNA, 460 nt
Filed under: uncultured bacterium
Lineage: Bacteria
Description: partial 16S ribosomal RNA
Rfam family: Bacterial small subunit ribosomal RNA
Source: RNAcentral